This 77-nucleotide transfer RNA is filed under the name Limibacillus halophilus. Its description in RNAcentral is "tRNA-Ile". It matches the Rfam family "tRNA". Rfam says of the family: Transfer RNA (tRNA) molecules are approximately 80 nucleotides in length. Their secondary structure includes four short double-helical elements and three loops (D, anti-codon, and T loops). RNAcentral also lists the same sequence under 1 other name. Lineage: Bacteria; Pseudomonadati; Pseudomonadota; Alphaproteobacteria; Rhodospirillales; Rhodovibrionaceae. The record is from RNAcentral.
GGGCUGGUAGCUCAGUUGGUUAGAGCGCGCGCUUGAUAAGCGUGAGGUCGCAGGUUCAAAUCCUGCUCGGCCCACCA